AACGAACGCUGGCGGCAUGCCUAACACAUGCAAGUCGAACGAUACCUUCGUGUCUUUUUUCUCACGUGUUCGUAACGCGUUGUAACCUUCCCUUAUGUUCGGAAUAACUCCCCUACAUGUGUUCUAAUACCGGAUAAUGUCUUCUGACCAAAGGUUUAUCGCCUUUGGUUGGGCCCGCGUUGGAUUAGCUUGUUGGUAGGGUAAAAGCCUAGCAAGGCGACGAUCCAUAGCUGGUAUGAGAGGAUGAUCAGCCACACUGGGACUGAGACACGGCAGAGACUAGUACGGGAGGGAGCAGAGGGGAAUAUUGGAAAAUGGGGGAAAGGAUGAAGAAGCAAUGAGGGGUGAGUGAUGAAGGGGGUAGGGAAGAAAAGGAAUUUUAAACGGGAAGAUAAUGACAGUAACGGGAGAAUAAGCAACGGCUAACUACGUG
This 433-nucleotide ribosomal RNA is filed under the name uncultured bacterium. Its description in RNAcentral is "partial 16S ribosomal RNA". It matches the Rfam family "Bacterial small subunit ribosomal RNA", at positions 29 to 507 of the family's 1533-position model. The record is from RNAcentral.